CCCUCCCUGGUCUCACCCUGCCGCGUGAAUGAUGACCGCCUUAGGGUCGUAAAGCUCUUUCGCCUGUAAUGAUAAUGACAGUAGCAGGUAAAGAAACCCCGGCUAACUCCGUGCCAGCAGCCGCGGUAAUACGGAGGGGGUUAGCGUUGUUCAGAAUUACUGGGCGUAAAGCGCGCGUAGGCGGAAUUAAAGUUGGGGGUGAAAUCCCGGGGCUCAACGCCGGAACUGCCUCCAAAACUACUUGCCUAUAGUUCGAGAGAGGUGAAUUGAAUUUCGAGGGUAGAGUUGAAUUCCUAUAAUUUCCAAAAG
This 309-nucleotide ribosomal RNA is filed under the name uncultured marine bacterium. Its description in RNAcentral is "bacterial SSU rRNA". It matches the Rfam family "Bacterial small subunit ribosomal RNA", at positions 377 to 704 of the family's 1533-position model. The record is from RNAcentral.